Molecule: ribosomal RNA, 454 nt
Filed under: uncultured bacterium
Lineage: Bacteria
Description: bacterial SSU rRNA
Rfam family: Bacterial small subunit ribosomal RNA
Source: RNAcentral
UACGGGAGGCAGCAGUGGGGAAUAUUGCACAAUGGGCGCAAGCCUGAUGCAGCCACGCCGCGUGUAUGAAGAAGGCCUUCGGGUUGUAAAGUACUUUCAGUCGUGAGGAAGGUGUUAAGGUUAAUAACCUUAGCAAUUGACGUUAGCGACAGAAGAAGCACCGGCUAACUCCGUGCCAGCAGCCGCGGUAAUACGGAGGGUGCGAGCGUUAAUCGGAAUUACUGGGCGUAAAGGGCACGCAGGCGGUUAAUUAAGUUGGAUGUGAAAUCCCCGGGCUUAACCUGGGAAUGGCAUUCAAGACUGGUUAGCUAGAGUCUUGUAGAGGGGGUAGAAUUCCAUGUGUAGCGGUGAAAUGCGUAGAGAUGUGGAGGAAUACCGGUGGCGAAGGCGGCCCCUGGACAAGACUGACGCUCAUGUGCGAAAGCUGGGGAGCAAACAGGGAUUAGAUACCCGU